AUGCACAGUGCAGAUUCCCUUGGAUAAUGCCAGUUUGCUCAGGGUUCCCUUGUAUUAGUGAGGAGUUCACCAUAUCUGGACAUUCAUGUCUUGGCCUAUGUUGCUCACUUCUAUUGCUCUCAUGGCUUAGUUCGAGCAUUGUGGGAGGGAAAGGAGUCUUUGGGGGAACAUAGCAGUAGAUGUUUGUGUCUUAUUUUUCUCAUAGACAUACAUUAUUCUGUAAAGAUGGCCUUGUGGAAAUAAGUUUAGUUUUCCAAUAGAGUUGUUAGGAGCCCUACUUAGGUUUUACUAUGCAGUAAUAGACCAUACUUUUACCAUUCUACAUACAAUUGUUACAUUUUUAUUUAGGGCUUGAAAAUUUUAUCUUGCUAGCAAUAAUUAUUACCUGGCCACUGUCUCUGUCUACAGGGACCUAAUGAGCAAAGAUGUGCAUGUUUUUUGCACAUGGCACAGAGAAGACUUAACUGAUAUUAACUAUUCCAACCCAGUCUAACACAACACAGAAUAUCUACAUUAUUGUUUCUUUAUGUGUGUAUGUAUGUGACACAUGUCUACAGAUGCAUCUGCAUAUAUGCAUGUAUUUCUUUUUUAAAUUAUUGUUUUUCCUUUUUUUUUCCUGUCAGGUGAUAAUAGAAUCCAGCAUGGAAGAGGAGUUGUUAGUACCCUCACCUUAACUCCUCAAUCAAUUCUAAGAAAUUAGUUGACAGUUUACUUCCCAAAUCUUCAUUCCUAUAUAUGAUCACUUGGAUGCCCUUUACAGGGUGACCGCAUUGAGUGGGUUUGCUACAGUUGAUGCCUUCAUUUCUAUACCAGCUUCAUCAAAACAACGAUAAAAGUCUUCUUUAUGCCCGGUGACACUUUUCUUCUUGUGUGGCAGUGGAUACCUCCUGCAGAUAAGAAAUGCUUAACUGAGAAAUGCUCAUAUUGGGAUAUCACCGAUGAGACUUUAAUUGGGCAUGGUGACUGUUUCCCUUGCUGCCGCUUGACUCAAUCACAGGAGCCUCACAUAAAUUGCACAAGAAGCUCAAAAUGGUGGAAUUGCUCAGUGCUCCCAUAAAUACAUAUUUACCAUUUUUCUUUGCCACAUGAUAAAUUUUUAAAGCUGAUAUAUUCAAAAGAAACUGCAUACUUUUUUCUCAAAAAUUCAAAGACCAAAUAAUAUAAAAACUAAGGGCCCUCCUCUCUUUCAACUCAAUUCUCACAGUUUUCUUUUAUUCAAGAAAGAUGUGCAUUUUUUUAGUGCACAAAUGGACAUGUAAGCUAUUUUGGAGUGGGUGUUUAGAAGUGAACCCAUAUUGUAACACAUUCUUCUGCCAAUUACCUCUUCCAUUUAAGUCUUUUCAGUGGUUUUUUUUCUAUUUCAGUAAUACAUAUACAUCUGUGUCAUUUGUUGAAUGACUGCAUGACUAUUCUAUAGAUAAAAUAUAAUUAAAUGUUUUAUGGAUUUCUCAUUCAUGGUUAUUUAUGUUAGUACCAAAUUUCUGUGCAAUGAACCUCCCUCUUAUCAACAAUUCUGCAUUUGUCUGUGAUACUAUAAUAAGUUUACCUAGCAGUUGAAUUACUAGAAUUAAGGAUACAAACAUUUAAUAUUCUGAAAUUUAUGGAAAGAUUCUUUUUUUCAAAUGUGGUUAACAAUUUUGUCCUCAAUGGCAAUGAAUAAGAUUGCCAACUUUCCCACGUCCACACAGAUGAUAAAUUUUAAACAUACUUAAAUUUUUGCAAAUGUGGUAGCCCAACUAUUGUCUUAAAUUGUAUUUCUUUUGUUUUUGAGUUUGAUCAUUGUUUUUCAUGUGUUUAUUAGUCAUCUGUAUUUUUAAUUUCUUUAUGUCCAAUUCUGGGGGUGAGUGUUGAUUUUCGUCUCUGAUUUCAGUGAGCACUUUUACUAUUGGUGGAAUAACUUUUCAGAUUGUCAAGCAUUACAGAUAUUUUUAUGCUCCUUUAAACUUUGUUUUUGUUAUAGUAAUGUGUAUAAUUGUUAUAUGUCCAAGUAUAUAACCAUGUUCGCUUUAUAGCUUCUGGUUUCACAUCAUUUUUGGAAAGGUAUUAAUACCAAGUCCAUAAAACUCUUCACCUAUGUUAACUUCUAAUUCAUUGUGGGGUUUUUUUUAAGUCAAAUUCGUAUAUCAUUAGAAUAUUUUUGUUUUGAAGUCUUAAAUUGCCAAGUUAUUUGCCAUUACUUGCGAUUAUUUGCCAAUAAUUGCCCAUUUAUCUGUAAUGCCAUCUUGCGCCUAUGGUGUAUUCUCAUCUGACUGGCUCCAUUUUUGUUCUGUGGAUCUGUGUGUCUCUUCUUCUGCCUCCUGUCUCAUGUGUCUUCUUACUGGAAGAAAUUACAGUUUAGACUGCAAUUUCAUCAGACUUAAUAAAUUAAUUUGGGGAAAUUGGUUUUCAGUAAUAUUGUCUUCACAGUCAAGAACAAUAUAUGUCUCUUAUUCAAAAAUUUUAAUUGCUGUUGACAUUUUUCACUUUAGUUAUGAGAUUUUUCUUUUACUCUGUUCAUUUUUUCUGAAUCUGGAAGUUUUGUUGUGUUUUUGAGGGGUAAAUGGUCACCUCAGUACUUUUCAUAUUUUUUUCAAAAUGUGGACAGAAUUUUUUUGCAAAUAUUGAUAGCUUUAAUUGCCCUCUUCCAAUUUAUCCUGAUUUUGCCUAAGUCCACAUACUGGUACUUUCAGAGCACUUAAACAAUUGUUGAAAUAUUACCCACCCUUGAUUUAAAUGGGCCUUUAAUGGAAUGCUUCUUGGGUUGCAAUGCACAUUUUUUGCUGGUCUGCUUCUCCCAAAAGACCACCCAAAAGACCACCCAAAAGAGCUAUGAAUGAGCAAAGAUAAGUUUAUUAAAUUUACUGCAGCAAGGGAAAACACCACCUUGACAGGGUUUGAUAGUGUUUCAUGGAUCAGAGGAAAGGUGCCUUUGGGUCUGGGCUGUUGUGAUUUAAGGCAGAUAACUGAUUAGGAAUAG
Molecule: long non-coding RNA, 2956 nt
Organism: Perognathus longimembris pacificus (Pacific pocket mouse)
Lineage: Eukaryota; Metazoa; Chordata; Mammalia; Rodentia; Heteromyidae
Exons: 2
Source: RefSeq, a predicted model, not a curated record